RNAcentral lists this unclassified non-coding RNA (347 nucleotides) under soil metagenome. RNAcentral's name for it is "partial contains 5.8S ribosomal RNA, internal transcribed spacer 2, and large subunit ribosomal RNA". The stretch from base 1 to 120 matches the Rfam family "5.8S ribosomal RNA", at positions 35 to 154 of the family's 154-position model. The record is from RNAcentral.
GAUGAAGAACGUAGUGAAAUGCGAUAAGUAAUGUGAAUUGCAGAAUUCAGUGAAUCAUCGAGUCUUUGAACGCACAUUGCGCCCCCUGGUAUUCCGGGGGGCAUGCCUGCCCGAGCGUCAUUGCUGCCCUCAAGCACGGCUUGUGUGUUGGGCCGUCGUCCCCCUCCUAGGGGACGGGCCCGAAAGGCAGCGGCGGCACCGCGUCCGGUCCUCGAGCGUAUGGGGCUUCGUCACCCGCUCCGUAGGCCCGGCCGGCGCUUGCCGACGACCAUCAAUCUCUUUCUCCAGGUUGACCUCGGAUCAGGUAGGGAUACCCGCUGAACUUAAGCAUAUCAAUAAGCGGAGGA